GUAAGGUUCAUUUCUUUUGCUUUCUGCUGGAAGAGUUGUGAGAGAGAGAGAGAGAGAGAGAGAGAGAAAAGCUCAAAACUUAUAUGGAAUUGAAGAAGACUUGAAGGAGCUAAGGGAAAUCAUCUCUAAUUCUGAAAUUUAAACUUGAGGUCACGCGCUAUUGUUUGUCUGAUCCGUCUGUUCUACUACUGCAACUGUCUGUGAUCAAGCGCAUGAUUAGGCCUAGAGCUUCUUCUGUCUGGAUUCUGUUUUUUUUGUUAGCCAACCUUUGUGCCUUUCGUGAAGGUUUCAGAUAUGUCAAGCGAUUAUGACUUUUGUGAUUAAAGUUUAAGUUUUGUUUUCUUGUUUUGGUUUAACAAGUGUUUUUGUUUAUUCUGUAUUUAGGACUAAGUUCCUUUUUGGUCUAGCCUAUAUAUAUGAUGAUGUGUAAAUGUAUGUAUAUAAACUUUAAAAUUUUUUGUCUCAUAUAAAUCCGCAUAGCUCAAUGGAUAUUGUAUAUUUGUUAUUUGCUUCCGCUAGCCCCUAAUAUUAUGUUAAUCUAUCUCAGAGGCCUUUGAUAAUCCCAUGAUUACUGGUAGUUACAAUGCUAAACCUAUAGGGGCAGGUUUGGGUCGUGACAGUUAGGGUUAGGGUUAGGGUUAAGGCUGGUGGGAGUGGGUUGUGUGGAUUGAGAAAUUUGUGUGAAGGUUAAAAAUGUAAUUGACUAGAAGGAUAAAUAUGUAAUAAAUUUUCUUAA
Molecule: non-coding RNA, 736 nt
Organism: Camellia sinensis
Lineage: Eukaryota; Viridiplantae; Streptophyta; Magnoliopsida; Ericales; Theaceae
Source: RefSeq, a predicted model, not a curated record